RNAcentral lists this long non-coding RNA (239 nucleotides) under Lynx canadensis (Canada lynx). Its description in RNAcentral is "lncRNA (ENSLCNG00005016458.1)". Lineage: Eukaryota; Metazoa; Chordata; Mammalia; Carnivora; Felidae. The record is from RNAcentral.
GACUGUAAAUUCUUCUCUCCCUGGGCCCUGCCACCAGGCUGGGAAGUUGACAUCAUCCCCACAAUGACGACCAUCGGCUCUGGGAUUGGCAUCUUUGGAGUGGCCACGGUUCUCUGUGACCUGCUGCUGCUCCACAUCCUGCCCAAGAGGCACUACUACAAGCAGAAGAAGUUCAAGUAUGCGGAGGACAUGGGGGCCGGGGGGCGGGGAGCAUGACCCCGCGCCACCAGCUCCACCCU